CCAUGGCUUUGAUGAUAAACACUUUCAGCAAACAUGCCAGUUCUGCUUAUGAGAAUUCAUGACUUAAGAAACUGCUAUAGGAAAUCUUAGCCAUUG
Molecule: non-coding RNA, 96 nt
Organism: Triticum aestivum (bread wheat)
Lineage: Eukaryota; Viridiplantae; Streptophyta; Magnoliopsida; Poales; Poaceae
Source: Rfam